AGGACGAACGCUGGCGGCGUGCCUAAUACAUGCAAGUCGAGCGGUAAGGCCACUUCGGUGGUACACGAGCGGCGGACGGCUGAGUAACACGUAGGAACGUACCCCAAAGUGAGGCAUAAGCACCAGAAAUGGUGUCUAAUACCGCAUGUGGCCUAACAGGCUAAAGCUCCGGCGCUUUGGGAACGGCCUGCGCAUGAUUAGCUUGUUGGUGAGGUAAAAAGCUCACCAAGGCAGUGAUCAUUAGCUGGUCUGAGAGGAUGACCAGCCAGACUGGGACUGAGAACGGCCCAGACUCCUACGGGAGGCAGCAGUAGGGAAUUUUCCACAAUGGGCGAAAGCCUGAUGGAGCAACGCCGCGUGCAGGAUGAAGGCUCUAGGGUCGUAAACUGCUUUUAUCUGUGACGAAUAUGACGGUAGCAGAUGAAUAAGGAUCGGCUAACGUCCGUGCCAGCAGCCGC
RNAcentral lists this ribosomal RNA (458 nucleotides) under uncultured bacterium. Its description in RNAcentral is "SSU rRNA". It matches the Rfam family "Bacterial small subunit ribosomal RNA", at positions 26 to 518 of the family's 1533-position model. The record is from RNAcentral.